This 80-nucleotide small RNA is filed under the name Klebsiella aerogenes. RNAcentral describes it as "partial RtT sRNA". It matches the Rfam family "RtT RNA", at positions 1 to 78 of the family's 130-position model. Rfam says of the family: This family represents a bacterial cis-regulatory element known as RtT RNA. The exact function of RtT is unknown although it is thought that it may be involved in changing the cellular response in relation to amino acid starvation. Lineage: Bacteria; Pseudomonadati; Pseudomonadota; Gammaproteobacteria; Enterobacterales; Enterobacteriaceae. The record is from RNAcentral.
UAUUCUGCCCUACGGGGAAGGAUGAGAAGCUUCGACUAAGGUUCGACUCGAGCGUCAGCGAGAGAACGUUGCCGCAGGCA